UAGGGAAUCUUCGGCAAUGGACGGAAGUCUGACCGAGCAACGCCGCGUGAGUGAAGAAGGUUUUCGGAUCGUAAAGCUCUGUUGUAAGAGAAGAACGAGUGUGAGAGUGGAAAGUUCACACUGUGACGGUAUCUUACCAGAAAGGGACGGCUAACUACGUGCCAGCAGCCGCGGUAAUACGUAGGUCCCGAGCGUUGUCCGGAUUUAUUGGGCGUAAAGCGAGCGCAGGCGGUUAGAUAAGUCUGAAGUUAAAGGCUGUGGCUUAACCAUAGUAGGCUUUGGAAACUGUUUAACUUGAGUGCAAGAGGGGAGAGUGGAAUUCCAUGUGUAGCGGUGAAAUGCGUAGAUAUAUGGAGGAACACCGGUGGCGAAAGCGGCUCUCUGGCUUGUAACUGACGCUGAGGCUCGAAAGCGUGGGGAGCAAACAGGAUUAGAUACCCUGGUAGUCCACGCUGUAAACGAUGAGUGCUAGGUGUUAGACCCUUUCCGGGGUUUAGUGCCGUAGCUAACGCAUUAAGCACUCCGCCCGGGGAGUACGACCGCAAGGUUG
This 550-nucleotide ribosomal RNA is filed under the name uncultured bacterium. RNAcentral describes it as "bacterial SSU rRNA". It matches the Rfam family "Bacterial small subunit ribosomal RNA", at positions 355 to 896 of the family's 1533-position model. The record is from RNAcentral.